ACCAGCAUGGUGUAGUGGUUUGAGCAUUAGACUACAACUCUAGAGAUCAGGGUUCGAAUCCCUGCUCAGCCA
RNAcentral lists this transfer RNA (72 nucleotides) under Phrynosoma platyrhinos (Desert horned lizard). RNAcentral's name for it is "tRNA-OTHER". The stretch from base 9 to 72 matches the Rfam family "tRNA". From Rfam's summary of the family: Transfer RNA (tRNA) molecules are approximately 80 nucleotides in length. Lineage: Eukaryota; Metazoa; Chordata; Lepidosauria; Squamata; Phrynosomatidae. The record is from RNAcentral.